RNAcentral lists this ribosomal RNA (445 nucleotides) under uncultured bacterium. Its description in RNAcentral is "bacterial SSU rRNA". It matches the Rfam family "Bacterial small subunit ribosomal RNA", at positions 354 to 796 of the family's 1533-position model. The record is from RNAcentral.
GUAGGGAAUAUUGGUCAAUGGACGCAAGUCUGAACCAGCCAUGCCGCGUGCAGGAAGAAUGUCCUAUGGAUUGUAAACUGCUUUUUUACGGGAAGAAACCCCUGGAUGCGUCCGGGGCUGACGGUACUGUAAGAAUAAGGAUCGGCUAACUUCGUGCCAGCAGCCGCGGUAAGACGAAGGAUCCAAGCGUUGUCCGGAUUUACUGGGUUUAAAGGGUGCGUAGGCGGAAAAUUAAGUCAGUGGUGAAAUCCCGCAGCUCAACUGCGGAACUGCCAUUGAAACUGAUUUUCUUGAAUACAGUUGAGGUAGAUGGAAUAUAACAUGUAGCGGUGAAAUGCUUAGAUAUGUUAUAGAACACCGAUUGCGAAGGCAGUCUGCUAAGCUGUCAUUGACGCUGAGGCACGAAAGCGUGGGGAGCAAACAGGAUUAGAAACCCCAGUAGUCC